RNAcentral lists this ribosomal RNA (506 nucleotides) under uncultured bacterium. RNAcentral's name for it is "partial 16S ribosomal RNA". It matches the Rfam family "Bacterial small subunit ribosomal RNA", at positions 30 to 523 of the family's 1533-position model. The record is from RNAcentral.
AUUGAACGCUGGCGGCAGGCCUAACACAUGCAAGUCGAACGGUAACAGGAAACAGCUUGCUGUUUCGCUGACGAGUGGCGGACGGGUGAGUAAUGUCUGGGAAACUGCCUGAUGGAGGGGGAGAACUACUGGAAACGGUAGCUAAUACCGCAUAACGGCGCAAGACCAAAGAGGGGGACCUUCGGGCCUCUUGCCAUGGGAUGUGCCCAGAUGGGAUUAGCUAGUAGGUGGGGUAACGGCUCACCUAGGCGACGAUCCCUAGCUGGUCUGAGAGGAUGACCAGCCACACUGGAACUGAGACACGGUCCAGACUCCUACGGGAGGCAGCAGUGGGGAAUAUUGCACAAUGGGCGCAAGCCUGAUGCAGCCAUGCCGCGUGUAUGGAGAAGGCCUUCGGGUUGUAAAGUACUUUCAGCGGGGAGGAAGGGAGUAAAGUUAAUACCUUUGCUCAUUGACGUUACCCGCAGAAGAAGCACCGGCUAACUCCGUGCCAGCAGCCGCCGUAA